This 409-nucleotide ribosomal RNA is filed under the name bacterium. Its description in RNAcentral is "partial 16S ribosomal RNA". It matches the Rfam family "Bacterial small subunit ribosomal RNA", at positions 355 to 776 of the family's 1533-position model. The record is from RNAcentral.
UGGGGAAUAUUGCACAAUGGGCGAAAGCCUGAUGCAGCGACGCCGCGUGAGGGAUGACGGCCUUCGGGAUGUAAACCUCUUUCAGUAGGGACGAAGCGCAAGUGACGGUACCUGCAGAAGCAGCACCGGCUAACUACGUGCCAGCAGCCGCGGUAAUACGAAGGGUGGUAGCGGUGUCCGGACUUACUGGGCGUAAAGUGCUCGUAGGCGGUUUGUCACGUCGUCUGUGAGCUCCUAGGGCUUAACCCUGGACGUGCAGGCGAUACGGGCUGACUUGAGUACUACAGGGGAGACUGGAAUUUCUGGUGUAGCGGUGGGAUGCACGGAUAUCAGGAAGGACACCGAUGGCGAAGGCAGGUCUCUGGGUAGUAACUGACGCUGAGGAGCGAAAGCAUGGGUAGCGAACAGG